UUGAUAGUACCUUACUACUUGGAUAACCGUGGUAAUUCUAGAGCUAAUACAUGCUAAAAACCGCGACUUCGGAAGCGGUGUAUUUAUUAGAUAAAAAACCAAUGCCCUUCGGGGCUCCUUGGUGAUUCAUGAUAACUUAACGAAUCGCAUGGCCUUGCGCCGGCGAUGGUUCAUUCAAAUUUCUGCCCUAUCAACUUUCGAUGGUAGGAUAGUGGCCUACCAUGGUAUCAACGGGUAACGGGGAAUUAGGGUUCUAUUCCGGAGAGGGAGCCUGAGAAACGGCUACCACAUCCAAGGAAGGCAGCAGGCGCGCAAAUUACCCAAUCCCGACACGGGGAGGUAGUGACAAUAAAUACUGAUACAGGGCUCUUUUGGGUCUUGUAAUUGGAAUGAGUACAAUUUAAAUACCUUAACGAGGAACAAUUGGAGGGCAAGUCUGGUGCCAGCAGCCGCGGUAAUUCCAGCUCCAAUAGCGUAUAUUAAAGUUGUUGCAGUUAAAAAGCUCGUAGUUGAACCUUGGGCCUGGCUGGCCGGUCCGCCUCACCGCGUGUACUGGUCCGGCCGGGCCUUUCCUUCUGGGGAUCCGCAUGCCCUUCACUGGGUGUGUCGGGGAACCAGGACUUUUACUUUGAAAAAAUUAGAGUGUUCAAAGCAGGCCUUUGCUCGAAUACAUUAGCAUGGAAUAAUAGAAUAGGACGUGCGGUCCUAUUUUGUUGGUUUCUAGGACCGCCGUAAUGAUUAAUAGGGAUAGUCGGGGGCAUCAGUAUUCAAUUGUCAGAGGUGAAAUUCUUGGAUUUAUUGAAGACUAACUACUGCGAAAGCAUUUGCCAAGGAUGUUUUCAUUAAUCAGUGAACGAAAGUUAGGGGAUCGAAGACGAUCAGAUACCGUCGUAGUCUUAACCGUAAACUAUGCCGACUAGGGAUCGG
RNAcentral lists this ribosomal RNA (927 nucleotides) under Macrophomina phaseolina. RNAcentral's name for it is "SSU rRNA". It matches the Rfam family "Eukaryotic small subunit ribosomal RNA", at positions 121 to 1056 of the family's 1831-position model. The record is from RNAcentral. Lineage: Eukaryota; Fungi; Ascomycota; Dothideomycetes; Botryosphaeriales; Botryosphaeriaceae.